ACUCAAAUGAAUAGACGGGGGCCCGCACAAGCGGUGGAGCAUGUGGUUUAAUUCGACGCAACGCGCAGAACCUUACCCAGACUUGACAUCCAUCAGACUCUGCAGAGAUGUGGAGGUGCCCGCAAGGGAAUGAUGAGACAGGUGCUGCAUGGCUGUCGUCAGCUCGUGUCGUGAGAUGUUGGGUUAAGUCCCGCAACGAGCGCAACCCUCGCCUUUAGUUGCCAGCAUUGAGUUGGGCACUCUAGAGGGACUGCCGGUGUCAAGCCGGAGGAAGGUGGGGAUGACGUCAAGUCCUCAUGGCCUUUAUGUCUGGGGCUACACACGUGCUACAAUGGUCGGUACAAUGGGCUGCCAAGGCGCGAGCCGGAGCUAAUCCCUGAAAACCGAUCCCAGUUCGGAUCGAAGUCUGCAACUCGACUUCGUGAAGUCGGAAUCGCUAGUAAUCGCGGAUCAGAACGCCGCGGUGAAUACGUUCCCGGGCCUUGUACACACCGCCCGU
This 499-nucleotide ribosomal RNA is filed under the name uncultured bacterium. Its description in RNAcentral is "partial 16S ribosomal RNA". It matches the Rfam family "Bacterial small subunit ribosomal RNA", at positions 899 to 1397 of the family's 1533-position model. The record is from RNAcentral.